Molecule: non-coding RNA, 45 nt
Organism: Chlorella variabilis
Lineage: Eukaryota; Viridiplantae; Chlorophyta; Trebouxiophyceae; Chlorellales; Chlorellaceae
Source: Rfam
AAACUGGUGUUAUUCAACACCACCACCGCUCACUGGGAAUCAAUG